GACGUAGGGCGCGAGCGUUGUCCGGAUUUAUUGGGCGUAAAGAGCUCGUAGGCGGCUUGUCGCGUCGAAUGUGAAAUCUCAGGGCUCAACUCUGACAUUGCAUUCGAUACGGGCAGGCUCGAGUUCGGUAGGGGAGACUGGAAUUCCGGGUGUAGCGGUGGAAUGCGUAGAGAUCCGGAAGAACACCGGUGGCGAAGGCGGUCUGCUGGGCCAAGACUGACGCUGAGGCGCGACAGCGUGGGGAGCAAACAGG
RNAcentral lists this ribosomal RNA (253 nucleotides) under uncultured bacterium. RNAcentral's name for it is "partial 16S ribosomal RNA". It matches the Rfam family "Bacterial small subunit ribosomal RNA", at positions 524 to 776 of the family's 1533-position model. The record is from RNAcentral.